CAGGGAUUGCCCCAGUAACGGCGAGUGAAGCGGCAACAGCUCAAAUUUGAAAUCUGGCCCCCAGGGCCCGAGUUGUAAUUUGCAGAGGAUGCUUUGGGCGAGGUGCCUUCCGAGUUCCCUGGAACGGGACGCCAUAGAGGGUGAGAGCCCCGUCUGGUCGGACACCGAGCCUGUGUAAAGCUCCUUCGACGAGUCGAGUAGUUUGGGAAUGCUGCUCAAAAUGGGAGGUAUAUGUCUUCUAAAGCUAAAUAUUGGCCAGAGACCGAUAGCGCACAAGUAGAGUGAUCGAAAGAUGAAAAGCACUUUGAAAAGAGGGUUAAAAAGUACGUGAAAUUGUUGAAAGGGAAGCGCCUAUGACCAGACUUGGGCCCGGUGAAUCAUCCAGCGUUCUCGCUGGUGCACUUUGCCGGGCACAGGCCAGCAUCAGUUUGGCGCGGGGGACAAAGGCUUCGGGAAUGUAGCUCCCUCGGGAGUGUUAUAGCCCGCUGCGCAAUACCCUGCGCCGGACUGAGGUACGCGCAUCGCAAGGAUGCUGGCGUAAUGGUCAUCAGCGACCCGUCUUGAAACACGGACCAAGGAGUCGUCUUCGUAUGCGAGUGUUCGGGUGUCAAACCCCUACGCGUAAUGAAAGUGAACGCAGGUGAGAGCUUCGGCGCAUCAUCGACCGAUCCUGAUGUUCUCGGAUGGAUUUGAGUAAGAGCAUACGGGGCCGGACCCGAAAGAAGGUGAACUAUGCCUGUAUAGGGUGAAGCCAGAGGAAACUCUGGUGGAGGCUCGCAGCGGUUCUGACGUGCGAAUCGAUCGUCAAAUAUGGGCAUGGGGGCGAAAGACUAAUCGAACCUUCUAGUAGCUGGUUUC
This 858-nucleotide ribosomal RNA is filed under the name Cordyceps pruinosa. Its description in RNAcentral is "partial large subunit ribosomal RNA". It matches the Rfam family "Eukaryotic large subunit ribosomal RNA", at positions 69 to 958 of the family's 3401-position model. Lineage: Eukaryota; Fungi; Ascomycota; Sordariomycetes; Hypocreales; Cordycipitaceae. The record is from RNAcentral.